This 299-nucleotide ribosomal RNA is filed under the name uncultured bacterium. RNAcentral describes it as "partial 16S ribosomal RNA". It matches the Rfam family "Bacterial small subunit ribosomal RNA", at positions 32 to 323 of the family's 1533-position model. The record is from RNAcentral.
AAUCAACGCUGGCGGCGUGCCUCAGACAUGCAAGUCGAACGCGAAAGUCCCCUUCGGGGGAUGAUUAGAGUGGCGCACGGGUGAGUAACACGUAGGUAAUCUACCUUCGAGUGGGGAAUAACUCAGGGAAACUUGAGCUAAUACCGCAUAAUGCAGCGGCACCACAUGGUGACAGUUGUUAAAGCAUUUAUGCGCUUGAAGAGGAGCCUGCGGCGGAUAGCUAGUUGGUAAGGUAAUGGCUUACCAAGGCUACGAUCUGUAACCGGCCUGAGAGGGCGGACGGUCACACUGACACUGAA